Molecule: ribosomal RNA, 1464 nt
Filed under: Salmonella enterica subsp. enterica serovar Mbandaka
Lineage: Bacteria; Pseudomonadati; Pseudomonadota; Gammaproteobacteria; Enterobacterales; Enterobacteriaceae
Description: partial 23S ribosomal RNA
Rfam family: Bacterial large subunit ribosomal RNA
Source: RNAcentral
AGACCCGAAACCCGGUGAUCUAGCCAUGGGCAGGUUGAAGGUUGGGUAACACUAACUGGAGGACCGAACCGACUAAUGUUGAAAAAUUAGCGGAUGACCUGUGGCUGGGGGUGAAAGGCCAAUCAAACCGGGAGAUAGCUGGUUCUCCCCGAAAGCUAUUUAGGUAGCGCCUCGUGAAUUCAUCUCCGGGGGUAGAGCACUGUUUCGGCUAGGGGGCCAUCCCGGCUUACCAACCCGAUGCAAACUGCGAAUACCGGAGAAUGUUAUCACGGGAGACACACGGCGGGUGCUAACGUCCGUCGUGAAGAGGGAAACAACCCAGACCGCCAGCUAAGGUCCCAAAGUCAUGGUUAAGUGGGAAACGAUGUGGGAAGGCCCAGACAGCCAGGAUGUUGGCUUAGAAGCAGCCAUCAUUUAAAGAAAGCGUAAUAGCUCACUGGUCGAGUCGGCCUGCGCGGAAGAUGUAACGGGGCUAAACCAUGCACCGAAGCUGCGGCAGCGACGCUGAUGCGUUGUUGGGUAGGGGAGCGUUCUGUAAGCCUGCGAAGGUGGCCUGUGAGGGUUGCUGGAGGUAUCAGAAGUGCGAAUGCUGACAUAAGUAACGAUAAAGCGGGUGAAAAGCCCGCUCGCCGGAAGACCAAGGGUUCCUGUCCAACGUUAAUCGGGGCAGGGUGAGUCGACCCCUAAGGCGAGGCCGAAAGGCGUAGUCGAUGGGAAACGGGUUAAUAUUCCCGUACUUGGUGUUACUGCGAAGGGGGGACGGAGAAGGCUAUGUUGGCCGGGCGACGGUUGUCCCGGUUUAAGCGUGUAGGUGUGUGUUCCAGGUAAAUCCGGUUCACUUUAACACUGAGGCGUGACGACGAGGCACUACGGUGCUGAAGCAACAAAUGCCCUGCUUCCAGGAAAAGCCUCUAAGCAUCAGGUAACAUCAAAUCGUACCCCAAACCGACACAGGUGGUCAGGUAGAGAAUACCAAGGCGCUUGAGAGAACUCGGGUGAAGGAACUAGGCAAAAUGGUGCCGUAACUUCGGGAGAAGGCACGCUGACACGUAGGUGAAGUGAUUUACUCAUGGAGCUGAAGUCAGUCGAAGAUACCAGCUGGCUGCAACUGUUUAUUAAAAACACAGCACUGUGCAAACACGAAAGUGGACGUAUACGGUGUGACGCCUGCCCGGUGCCGGAAGGUUAAUUGAUGGGGUCAGCGCAAGCGAAGCUCCUGAUCGAAGCCCCGGUAAACGGCGGCCGUAACUAUAACGGUCCUAAGGUAGCGAAAUUCCUUGUCGGGUAAGUUCCGACCUGCACGAAUGGCGUAAUGAUGGCCAGGCUGUCUCCACCCGAGACUCAGUGAAAUUGAACUCGCUGUGAAGAUGCAGUGUACCCGCGGCAAGACGGAAAGACCCCGUGAACCUUUACUAUAGCUUGACACUGAACAUUGAGCCUUGAUGUGUAGGAUAGGUGGGAGGC